GUGCUUGCUUUGGCAGCUCAUAUACUAAAAUUGAAAUGAUACAGAGAAGAUUAGCAUGGCUCCUGCGCAGGGAUGACAUGGAAAUUUGUGAAGCAUUUCAUAUUUAA
Small nuclear RNA from Suncus etruscus (white-toothed pygmy shrew), 107 nucleotides. The record is from RefSeq and is a predicted model, not a curated record. NCBI's taxonomy places the organism in Eukaryota, Metazoa, Chordata, Mammalia, Eulipotyphla, Soricidae.